CAUUGGUCAAUGGACGAGGGUCUGAACCAGCCAAGUAGCGUGAAGGAUGACUGCCCUAUGGGUUGUAAACUUCUUUUAUAUGGGAAUAAAACAGGGUAUGCAUACCCUCUUGUAUGUACCAUAUGAUUAAGGAUCGGCUAACUCCGCGCAAGCAGCCGCGGUAAUACGAAGGAUCCGAGCGUUAUCCGGAUUUAUUGGGUUUAAAGGGAGCGUAGGUGGACAGUUAAGUCAGUUGUGAAAGUUUGCGGCUCAACCGUAAAAUUGCAGUUGAUACUGGCUGUCUUGAGUACAGUAGAGGUGGGCGGAAUUCGUGGUGUAGCGGUGAAAUGCUUAGAUAUCACGAAGAACUCCGAUUGCGAAGGCAGCUCACUGGACUGUUGACUGACACUGAGGCUCGAAAGUGUGGGUAUCAAAC
RNAcentral lists this ribosomal RNA (415 nucleotides) under uncultured bacterium. RNAcentral describes it as "bacterial SSU rRNA". It matches the Rfam family "Bacterial small subunit ribosomal RNA", at positions 359 to 773 of the family's 1533-position model. The record is from RNAcentral.